This 872-nucleotide ribosomal RNA is filed under the name Agrocybe retigera. RNAcentral's name for it is "partial large subunit ribosomal RNA". It matches the Rfam family "Eukaryotic large subunit ribosomal RNA", at positions 71 to 928 of the family's 3401-position model. The record is from RNAcentral. Lineage: Eukaryota; Fungi; Basidiomycota; Agaricomycetes; Agaricales; Agrocybaceae.
AGGAUUCCCCUAGUAACUGCGAGUGAAGCGGGAAAAGCUCAAAUUUAAAAUCUGGUGGUCUUUGGCCAUCCGAGUUGUAAUCUAGAGAAGUGUUACCCGCGCUGGACCGUGUACAAGUCUCCUGGAAUGGAGCGUCAUAGAGGGUGAGAAUCCCGUCUUUGACACGGACUGCCAGGGCUUUGUGGUGCGCUCUCAAAGAGUCGAGUUGUUUGGGAAUGCAGCUCAAAAUGGGUGGUAAAUUCCAUCUAAAGCUAAAUAUUGGCGAGAGACCGAUAGCGAACAAGUACCGUGAGGGAAAGAUGAAAAGAACUUUGGAAAGAGAGUUAAACAGUACGUGAAAUUGCUGAAAGGGAAACGCUUGAAGUCAGUCGCGUUGGCCGGGAAUCAACCUUGCUUUUGCUGGGCGUACUUUCCGGUCGACGGGUCAGCAUCAGUUUUGACCAUUGGAAAAAGUCUAGAGGAAUGUGGCAUCUCCGGAUGUGUUAUAGCCUCUGGUCGCAUACGAUGGUUGGGACUGAGGAACUCAGCACGCCGCAAGGCCGGGUACUUGUACCACGUUCGUGCUUAGGAUGCUGGCAUAAUGGCUUUAAUCGACCCGUCUUGAAACACGGACCAAGGAGUCUAACAUGCCUGCGAGUGUUUGGGUGGAAAACCCGAGCGCGUAAUGAAAGUGAAAGUUGAGAUCCCUGUCGUGGGGAGCAUCGACGCCCGGACCAGACGUUUUCUGACGGAUCCGCGGUAGAGCAUGUAUGUUGGGACCCGAAAGAUGGUGAACUAUGCCUGAAUAGGGUGAAGCCAGAGGAAACUCUGGUGGAGGCUCGUAGCGAUUCUGACGUGCAAAUCGAUCGUCAAAUUUGGGUAUAGGGGCGAAA